This 1260-nucleotide long non-coding RNA is filed under the name Pongo abelii (Sumatran orangutan). RNAcentral's name for it is "lncRNA (ENSPPYG00000038642.1)". Lineage: Eukaryota; Metazoa; Chordata; Mammalia; Primates; Hominidae. The record is from RNAcentral.
AUGUCAGCGAUUUCAUUGAUAUUUCACAGCUUUUCCCUCAGUAGUUAGAAGAGAUCUGGCACAUAGUAGGUAUUCAAUAAAUAUUUAUUAAGACUAGGCAUGGUGGCUCACGCCUGUAAUCCUAGCACUUUGGAAGGCUGAGGUGGGAGGAUUGCAUGAGGUCAGUUCAGCGGUUCAAAACCAGCCUUGGCAACAUAGCAACCCCUUGUCUCUACAAAAAAAGAGAAAAGAAAUAAUAAAGUAAAAUAAAAUAAAUUGGCCCCUCAUAAAAAUUUGCUCUGAAAGAAGCAAACCUUUUCAAGGUCACCUGGAGUUAAAGGAGGGACAGUUUUUAGCCCGUUUUCUUCUUGGGACUUUACUGGAAUUGAAUGGUAUUGUAGGUUAAGUGGAAGUCUUCAUUGGCUGAUUCGUCAUGAAAAUUAGAUCCCAGAGGAGUGAUGAUUGAUAUUAGUCACUAGGGAGAGAUAAUCCGGCCAAUGGAAAUGACAGUGAUGACAUCACAAAUGACUCUGUUUGCCUAAUGCCACUGGAAACAGCAGGAAGGAGACUUGAAGCAAAGCCAUCAAUUUCCACAGAAAGGGGAAACCCACACCCAAAUGGUAGGGAGGGCCCAGGAGCCAGAAUUCAAGUGAAUAGUUUCCUGAGUGGUCAGCAGCGUCAGGUGAUUUGGGGAACAGAUAAGCCCCUGGUACUUGGUAGCACUGCAUUCUGGAACAGUGGAUAAUACCAUAUUCAGUCCCCCUGACAACCCCAUGAAACAGAACAAAAUGGUGGCUGAGGUAGAGAAAUGACUUGUUCUCUGACUGGUGACUUUGGUCCCUGCAUCGAGGAGUGGCAGAGGUCUCAAAAAAAAAAAAAAAAAAAAAAAGAAACCUGACAAAAUUCGAGACCCUCUCCUCCACACUGACCAGGUGAAAACGGAAAGGAACCAUCUAGAGACAGUAAAUAAAUGAAAUAUCAGGCACUUGUUAAACAAAACAAAACAAAACAAAAAAAAGGAAGACCCGUAUGUUUAGCAUAUAAAUAUGUCCAAAAUGUAUUAUUCAGCAAGCAAGUCUCAUAGUGUUGUUAGUCUAAUUGGGUCCUACUGUAGUAAAAAUGAAAUAAAAUAGCAACAACAAAAUCUCAGCCUGUGCUUAAAAUAUGAUAUACAGAGAAAAAAAUGUCUAGAAAGGUGGAUAUACAUUCACCUGUCACCAAUGGUUCUUUCUGGAGUAAGAAUUUUGGAGAUAUUUUACACUUUCUACAUUUCAGCGGCGC